RNAcentral lists this ribosomal RNA (327 nucleotides) under Klebsiella pneumoniae. RNAcentral's name for it is "bacterial LSU rRNA". It matches the Rfam family "Bacterial large subunit ribosomal RNA", at positions 1466 to 1801 of the family's 2925-position model. Lineage: Bacteria; Pseudomonadati; Pseudomonadota; Gammaproteobacteria; Enterobacterales; Enterobacteriaceae. The record is from RNAcentral.
GGGGGGACGGAGAAGGCUAUGUUAGCCGGGCGACGGUUGUCCCGGUUUAAGCAUGUAGGCUGAUUGUCCAGGCAAAUCCGGAUAAUCAAGGCUGAGGUGUGAUGACGAGGCACUACGGUGCUGAAGUAACAAAUGCCCUGCUUCCAGGAAAAGCCUCUAAGCAUCAGGUAACAUUAAAUCGUACCCCAAACCGACACAGGUGGUCAGGUAGAGAAUACCAAGGCGCUUGAGAGAACUCGGGUGAAGGAACUAGGCAAAAUGGUGCCGUAACUUCGGGAGAAGGCACGCUGGUGUGUAGGUGAAGUCCCUGCGGAUGGAGCUGAGACC